AUUCUUUUAGUCUAUGUAAUAUGAUUUAGUCAUUGAUUUUACAUAGAAACAGUGGCGGAGCCAGACAAAAAUGUUUGGGGUGGCCGUCACUAAUUUCCCUUUCAAUUCUUGGAUUCUCAUGAACUUGUUCAGGUUCGGAUGAAGAAAUUAUAACUUCAUCUCUUUGAAUAUCAACGGCCUCUUAAAAAUAGAAUCGAUUCUUUGAAUCUUCAUCUACCUUAACUUUUCCAAUUGUGCGCUCCAAUAGUAUGCUCACCUCUUAAUUGCAAGAAUCAAACCAACAACAAGAUCAGAAAGAGUAGGUAUGCAAAAUAUAUUUACCAACAUGAGAGACAACAAUUAUUCAAAAAACAUAACAAAAUUGAACCAUUUAUUUAGAAAAGCAUAAGCCAUAAAUAGUUAGAAAAGCAUAAGCCACCUGAGACAACAAUGAUAGUUAGAAUAGCAUAAGCCAUAAUUUAACCAUUUAUUUGUACAUCUCCCAUUUCCAUGAGAAGUUAAAGAACAUUAAACAUUAUAAAACAAACAGCACUACUAUGUUCCAUUAUCUAUUUAUCUCCACAAACAAGACAUGUAGCUACUUGGUGCCUUGAGAUUGAUUCUUUAUUUGGAAAAUAGAACUUAACAACUAGUAGCUACAUGGUAAUCUUCGCACAAGUGAUUUACAACUACCUUCUAUUAUACAUUGCAUUGCAAUAUGUACUAUCAUUUCUAGAUUUUCCCCCUUUUUAUCAGGGAUUCUUUUCUGGACAUCUUAUUAUCAAUACCUUUGUUCUAGUUCAAGAUAAACAGAUUAGCAUCUUCAGAUUAUAAAGUAUUCUGAAACUCACAUGAAGUGUGUUAAAAAAAAGCAUAUACAUAUUUAUACUGACAUUCUUCUUUUAAUGCAAUCAACUAGGUUUAACAACAAUAGAUGAAAAAACUGAUGGCAAUCAAUCAAUUAAAGAACAUGUAAUCAUCAAAGAAGAAUCAGAUUUAAAGGAAAAUACAUUCAAUUUCAAUUUUCACAUUACCUAAAUUAGGGUUUUUGGAGAGAGAUGGAGAUAACACAGAAGAUGUUCAAUUCACACAAAAAAA
Molecule: long non-coding RNA, 1077 nt
Filed under: Medicago truncatula (barrel medic)
Lineage: Eukaryota; Viridiplantae; Streptophyta; Magnoliopsida; Fabales; Fabaceae
Description: long non-coding RNA (MTRU_LNC001415)
Source: RNAcentral